CGAUAGCGGCAAGAUGGCGGACCGUGGCGGCGUGGGUGAAGCCCCAGCUGUUGGAGCGUCUCCUGCAUCUGUCCCUGGCCUAAACCCGACGCUAGGCUGGAGGAAGCGACUGCGGGCCGGGCUGGCGGGGACUGGGGCCUCGUUGUGGUUCGUGGCGGGGCUGGGGCUGCUUUACGCUCUGAGGAUCCCUUUGAGGCUGUGUGAGAAUUUGGCAGCGGUGACUGUAUUUUUAAAUUCAUUGACACCCAAAUUCUAUGUGGCACUUACAGGGACCUCUUCAUUGAUAUCAGGACUAAUAUUUAUAUUUGAAUGGUGGUACUUCCAUAAGCAUGGCACAUCUUUUAUUGAGCAAGUAUCUGUAAGCCAUUUGCAACCACUGAUGGGAGGAACAGAGAGCAGCAUUUCAGAACCAGGUUCUCCUUCGAGGAACAGAGAAAAUGAAACCAGCAGACAGAAUUUGUCAGAUGGAAUUUCACUCUUGUUGCCCAGGCUGGAGUGCAAUGUCGUGAUCUUGGCUCACUGCAACCUCCACCUCCCGGGUUCAAGCGAUUCUCCUGCCCCAGCCUCCCGAGUAGCUGGGAUUACAAGCACCUGCCACCAUGCCAGAGUAAUUUUUGUAUUUUUAGUAGAGAUGGGUUUUCGCCAUGUUGGCCAGACUGGUCUCAAACCCCUGACCUCAGAUUAUUUAUCCACCUCGGCCUCCCAAAGUGCUGGGAUUACAGGCAUGAGCCACCAGGCCUGGCCCAUUCUGUCUUCUUUUCUUUCAACAUUCAUAGCCCCAUAUCUAGGCCCUUAAACAUCUCUUCCCUUGGCUAUUGCUA
This 821-nucleotide small RNA is filed under the name Pan troglodytes (chimpanzee). Its description in RNAcentral is "processed transcript". Lineage: Eukaryota; Metazoa; Chordata; Mammalia; Primates; Hominidae. The record is from RNAcentral.